Molecule: ribosomal RNA, 312 nt
Filed under: uncultured eukaryote
Lineage: Eukaryota
Description: partial 18S ribosomal RNA
Rfam family: Eukaryotic small subunit ribosomal RNA
Source: RNAcentral
CCCUUAGAUGUUCUGGGCCGCACGCGCGCUACACUGACGAAUGCAACGAGCUUAUAACCUUGGCCGAAAGGUCUGGGUAAUCUCCAAAUUUCGUCGUGAUGGGGAUAGAUUAUUGCAAUUAUUAAUCUUCAACGAGGAAUGCCUAGUAAGCGCAAGUCAUCAGCUUGCGUUGAUUACGUCCCUGCCCUUUGUACACACCGCCCGUCGCUCCUACCGAUUGAGUGGUUCGGUGAACUCUUCUGGCUGCGCGGCACUAGCUUGUGCGGAAAGUUGAAUAAAUCAUAUCACUUAGAGGAAGGAAAAGUCGUAACA